This 465-nucleotide ribosomal RNA is filed under the name uncultured Burkholderiales bacterium. RNAcentral's name for it is "bacterial SSU rRNA". It matches the Rfam family "Bacterial small subunit ribosomal RNA", at positions 338 to 795 of the family's 1533-position model. The record is from RNAcentral. Lineage: Bacteria; Pseudomonadati; Pseudomonadota; Betaproteobacteria; Burkholderiales.
CCUACGGGGGGCUGCAGUGGGGAAUUUUGGACAAUGGGCGCAAGCCUGAUCCAGCCAUGCCGCGUGCGGGAAGAAGGCCUUCGGGUUGUAAACCGCUUUUGUCAGGGAAGAAAAGCUCUGGGCUAAUACCCCGGGGUCAUGACGGUACCUGAAGAAUAAGCACCGGCUAACUACGUGCCAGCAGCCGCGGUAAUACGUAGGGUGCAAGCGUUAAUCGGAAUUACUGGGCGUAAAGCGUGCGCAGGCGGUGAUGCAAGACAGAUGUGAAAUCCCCGGGCUCAACCUGGGAACUGCAUUUGUGACUGCAUCGCUGGAGUGCGGCAGAGGGGGAUGGAAUUCCGCGUGUAGCAGUGAAAUGCGUAGAUAUGCGGAGGAACACCGAUGGCGAAGGCAAUCCCCUGGGCCUGCACUGACGCUCAUGCACGAAAGCGUGGGGAGCAAACAGGAUUAGAUACCCCAGUAGUC